ACAGUAAGGCGUGGGUAACCUACCCUGGGGACGGGGAUAGCCACUCUAACGAGUGGGUAAUACCCGGCGAUCUGGUUGGGGGGCAUCUCCUGGCCAGCAAAUGAGAUUCGCCCUGGGAGGGGCUCACGUAGUAUUACCUAGUUGGCGGGGUAACGGCCCACCAAGGGAAAGAUGCUUAGCAGGUGUGAGAGCACGACCUGCGCCACUGGCACUGUGACACUGGCCAG
Molecule: ribosomal RNA, 227 nt
Filed under: uncultured bacterium
Lineage: Bacteria
Description: partial 16S ribosomal RNA
Rfam family: Bacterial small subunit ribosomal RNA
Source: RNAcentral